Molecule: ribosomal RNA, 468 nt
Filed under: uncultured Campylobacterales bacterium
Lineage: Bacteria; Pseudomonadati; Campylobacterota; Epsilonproteobacteria; Campylobacterales
Description: bacterial SSU rRNA
Rfam family: Bacterial small subunit ribosomal RNA
Source: RNAcentral
AGUGAACGCUGGCGGUAUGCUUAACACAUGCAAGUCGAACGAGAACGGUCCAAAGCUUGCUUUGGAUGUCAGCUAAGUGGCGAACGGGUGAGUAAUGUAUAGCUAACCUGCCCUGUAGAGGGGGAUAACAGUUGGAAACGACUGCUAAUACCCCAUAUACCUUUUGAACAUAAGUUCGUAAAGGGAAAUGCUUUUGUGCUACGGGAUGGGGCUGUAUUGUAUCAGCUAGUUGGUGAGGUAAUGGCUCACCAAGGCAAUGACACAUAGCUGGUCUGAGAGGAUGAUCAGCCACACUGGAACUGAGACACGGUCCAGACUCCUACGGGAGGCAGCAGUGAGGAAUAUUGCACAAUGGAGGAAACUCUGAUGCAGCAAUACCGCGUGGAGGAUGACGCAUUUCGGUGUGUAAACUCCUUUUAUAUACCAAGAUAAUGACGGUAGUAUAUGAAUAAGCACCGGCUAACUCCG